This is a non-coding RNA of Struthio camelus australis, 6774 nucleotides long. NCBI's taxonomy places the organism in Eukaryota, Metazoa, Chordata, Aves, Struthioniformes, Struthionidae. The record is from RefSeq and is a predicted model, not a curated record.
GGCAGAGUAUAAUUAUUUUAUAAUUUUCGUUCAUGGGCCGUUUUAGACGUUUUGAAGAAAAAGAAUCUCAGCUUCUGUUAAUCCCCCUCAUUCUCAGUUGCCCUUCAUUGGCAUGUCACAGCAACAGACAGGGAAGCUCUGUGUCUGUCCCCAGCAUUUGCACUGGGUAUUUGCCUGAGGAGCCGGCUACUGCUAGUGAGAUGAGUGAGGAUUUGACGUUGGUAUAUGCUAGCACUGACCGACUUUGAAAAGUGAAGUCCCCUGUCAAGGUAGGUGUCUAGUUUAACAGUGUAAUUGCUGUGCAUAAACGAGGUGAUGGACAGCAGCUGCAAGACGUAACAAAAUUGCACAUUGUGUUAAAGCUGACACGGAGCAAAUUUACCUCUAGGAAUCAGAAAAUUAACUCUGGCGUGUGGUCCCAGUGAAGUUUUCCUCCCCGUAACAUCUUUACCAAAGGGUUUCAGGUUGAUUUUUUGGAUGUUAACUGAACUCCUUGUCUUUGCUGUGAAAGGGUCUGAGAUAGCCGUGUUGUAGCUGUGUACAGCAAGGCACGAGACCAUGGGAGGGCAGGGUCUAUCCAGCCGAGAGUGGGCACCUGUAGCACAGGCAUCUCCAUUUGAGCCAGAUAUCCUGGGAUCGCUGCAUAGUCGUGGAGAGCUAGCUGGCAGUAUUAACGGUAUGAUUUGCCUCAUCUGAUUGUGAUUGUGUUUGGUCACCUAAAUCAUGCUGUAAAUUCUAGGCUACGUAACCUAUCCUUUUGUAGGCUAAAGUGGCAGCCAGGCAGCUUGCUCAGAAGGAGAUACAGGGUAGACACCUGAAGUCGGACAAACACCCUCUGACUUGGCUGCAGUUGCACAGGUGAACCUGUAACAUGUUCACUGCCAAAACCCAGGUUUGCUGAAUGUACAAUCCCAUUGAUACCCGUUAGGUCCCCCAGCCUCACCAGAUCUCAUAUCUGACUGGUGGAUUACCCUCCUCUUUCUGUUUUUUAACCCUCUGUAAGAAUGCAGUUACACGUCUUCUGUGCGUUUUGCCUUACUGUUUGAUGAAGUGAUUGCAAUCUGAUGCUGCAGAUAUCUUUCUUUUCUUGCAAAUUGCUUUGCUAUAUGGGCAAAGUCUCCAGCGAUGUGAAUGUUAAUGAGCUAAAAAAAAAAAAAAAAACAAACUUGGCCUUGAUGGGAGCUAUUUAGAAUUGUAGACUCCCUGUAUUUAUGGCUUGGAAAACGUUAAAAAGAGAGGAAACAUAUUCUUGCUUAAGGUGUGCCGCUAACUUGGGCUCCAUCACUUCUGUCUGGUUGCCAUAGCGACCGUGCAAUGGCAUGGGAAUUCCUUUUAUGGCUGAUUUCCGAGUCCAACAUGGCCGGGAAGGAGCCUGCCGACCGGGUUUCCUAGCAACUUGUUCCUAUGCCGUGGUAACUAGGAAAUGCAGCCAGCGCUUUUUAAUAGCGCUCAUCAUUUUGAUCAUAUGUUCCACUCUGUCAACUUUUGUCUUUGUGGUAUGAAAUAAUUAGUACGGAGUAAGUCUACAGAAAGAUGCCUGUUUUCUUUUGGUUCUUUUCUCCUCCUCUCACUUUAUGAACGUUCAAUGCAGGAGCAUUCAUAGGAAGGCAAAGACAACAGUCCAUUUAUAUAAAGAAAAAGAAAUCAGAAUGUUCUAUUCAACAUGUGAGGCUGCAGAGUAAUAAAAGUGAUGCCAUCUGCCCAGUGUGGAAAGAGAGGCAUCCUGAGCUUCCCAGGUUUGUAGCCGAUCAGACGUCAGGUUUCAGGACAAGCCUCCUGAAAUGCAGGUGUUGAAAUGCAUUUUAAAUCAUUCUUUCAAUUCCUGCUCUGAUCCUACUUCCUUUUGUGAUUUUAUCUUCCCCAGACUUCAGAGGUUUUUUGAGAAUGACCUGGCCUGUGGAGGGGGAUGGGAAUUAGUAAGAGUUUAGGAAAUCAUUACGAAGAUGUAUGAUGAAAUUAAAAUGCAAAGUUGUAUUAAUUAUUUAUAUUGUAGUCAUGCCCUACCCGAGGUUGCCUGACAGGUCCCCCCCUGCUGAUAUGCAGCCCUGUGCAAAGGCAGAGUCCGUAUAGCCAAGGACAAACAGUCAGUGACCUUCAUUCAGAAAAAAGCAUCUCCUCAGGAAAUUGCUUGUGCGAGGAUUAGCUUCAAGCAUACAACCCCUCCUAUUUAAGCUGAUAGGACUCCUGCUAUGUUUAAAGUUAACUUUAACAAUUUUGUAUGAAGGGCUUGUCAAGGCUGGGAGCAACAGAUUGUAGCUGGGGUGUGUGUAUGUGUCCAUGUAGGUGUCUCUUACGAGUCCCCUGAAACGCGUGUUGCAGAGGUGGAGUCUGGUGGAGUUGCCCACCCACAGAUCUCGACCUGCAACGUUAUGCCCGCGUUCAGAGCAGAGGGAUGAGACUGAGCUGAAAUCACAGGGAAUUGCACUGAUUCGCUGGUUUUGAGCAACAUUGCAGAUUUUUCUCAUAUCUUCACAGAUCUUCUUAGCACUGGCCCUGGAGAGGAAGGAAGAAGGUGGUAUGUUAUUCCCAGCGGUUGCAACCUACCAGCCUCUUGUUUUUAAGCCGGCUCCUAAACACCCACUAGGAAGUUGAUUGCAUGCUGUUUACAGCCUCCUUUUAUAUGAAGUAACAUGUUCCUUGUCAUUAAUUAUGCAGACAGUGAGCGCAGAGGAUCUUGAAAAUCAUCAGGGCCUGUGUGUAGGACUUAUGUCGUGUAGUCUCUUAGACUAGUCUCCAAGAAGGUAGUUAAUCUCCUAUUGUGGUAGCUGUUUUUCCCCAUCCUCUAAGCAAGGAAAAUGAGCAGUGAAAACUUACUUGACUUAUUUCAUGUUACAGGGAAAUGUUAACUUCCUGUCUCUACUAACCUUUCUGUAAUAUAUUCCAGAAGACAACUUGGAGAAGCAUACAGAGUCUAUACUGCAGUUUGGAUUGCGAGACGUUAUUUGUCAAGGAGGUCAAAGGUAGUCGGUGAAGUGCUGGAUUUGACAUUGUGUCCAUCUUUUCUGGUUUGCUGGCUCUGGCACUAAUCAGUGCUCUUUAAGAAAAGCAAAACAAAGCACACCAAAACUGUUUAAUUUUUCAAGGGGAAAAUUCCUGCUAACCUUUGCUAGAAUUGUAGAAUUCUUGCAUCCUGAAUCUUGGGAUUGAUUUGCGUAUGCUCUUCUUGAAAUAGAUGCAAGUGUUCUUGUUGGUUACGCUGCUUUUAUCAGUUUUAUUUUUUUGAUAGCAGUAUGUAAGACUUCAUCUUUGCUGGAUACGGCAAAAUAGAUUCCCAGAUGAUUUAAUUUUAGCAGCACUGCACUGUCCUGAACUGGGCAGUACUGAUUUGUUAUACCAACUGCAAAUGUGGCCCUUCAUAUCUGGUAUCAAUUUUCUCUUAAAGAACAUAAUCACACCAGCCCACAGUGAUAUUUAGUAUUACUCAACCGUUGUAAAAAUGACAAACUUUACAUCAACACUAAAUUGACUGUGAUUAGUCACAUAUGUCAGUAUUAACAAAAGAUGACACUUACAAAUGUCCCAUGUGCUUUUAUUUCACAUUUUCUGUUAUGUUGUACUGUGCAUUUACUCUUCCUCUGGGAAUGUUUAUUGCCAGGGGAAGUACCACCUAUUUAGCAAACAGAUAGAUUGUGAACAUUGAUCUUUGUUGUUUUGAGAGAGUAGAUUUCAUUGCCUUCAAAAUAACUGACCAUCAUUAUUUUAAUUAGGUGCAUGUAUCCCAGCCUUCACUGAAGCAGAAAAGACUCUAAGUCUUUCUACGGAAGCUCUUACGCAGUUUCAAUCUCAUAUGUUGUCAGCUGUAACUGGUUCUUUUAAUCUGUUGUAGUAAAUGUCAGGUGAGGAACUGACAGUUCGGUAGGUAACCAUUUUCCAUUUAUCCACACUCUGUGUAAUACAUGAAUGGAUACUGACUGCCUGCGAAUGACCACUGCUGUCAAUCCAACUUAAAAUCUGUUCUGCUCUGUAUUUCUGGAGAGAUUCUGCCUGUAUAAUUUAUCUGUAGAUUAUAAAGGAUAGGGUGGCAGUGAAUUAAAGUCUACAUUAAAUUUAUUAGCUGUACUUUAAAUAUUUGAUCACAGAGAGGCUAAAGAUUCAAGUACCCAUGUGAUAUGCUAUGAUUACGCUUUACAAAUGGCCAAGGUACUUCUGCGGGGUGAGAUGAAAAAAUUUUCCUUAGGUUUGUGAGAAGAUUGUAACUAUAUAUAUCUCUCUUGUAUUUCAAGCCUAAAUAUUGUACAUUAUUUACAAUCUAGGAAAGGAAUGUGCGACUCCAGAUAACAGAGGGACAAAAAAGGAUUAAGAUCACCUCAUUGGUAAACAUCCGCGAUAGCUGGCGGGAGGCAUAAACAGAAGCUGUACAGGGGCCAGGGCAGUGCUACUUGUUUCAUAGACAGAGGAGAUAUGGAGACAGUACAGUACAUAAGUUUAAAUGUGUACCUGCCUGUAUGCCUCUUCCUUCCUAUGUGACCUGGAGCAGUACGUACUGUAGGAUGAGAUGGAGCAUGUUUAGGCUAUUAUAACAUGGAAGAUAUGGCUUUGUGGGUUGCUGUUGUGGUGUUUUGAACUGCUCAGCUACCUUCAGCUUUCGUUCACAGACUGACUCUUUUAACGCUUUAUUCCCUUUUUUUGCUCUCCUUCCUGUACAUGUAUGGAGAGACAAAGCAAAAAAAAAGGGAUGCGCAAAUGCAUUCUGUGUAAAACUCGUCAUGCCUUUAUUUACUGUAGUACUGUCACCAUAUUUAUGAAAUGAGCUUAAUGCUGCUUCAGGUAGAAUGAGGCCUAAUAAUUGUAUAUAUGCAUCAACAAGGGCUAUAUUCUUUGUCGUUCCUCUGCCUUUUUUCUCACUGAAUAGUAAGAACAGGAUUUUGAGAAGUAUUCCAAACAUUUGGUAAACUCAAGACUCCAGGAGUUUGGUUUUUUAAAAAUAUUUGUUCAUGAGUGUCACAGAUUUGCCAGGUUAUGAGCACUUCUAAAAAUCUGUCCCGAGCUUACUGCGUGAAUUAGGCCAUUGAGUUAAAUUCAUCUCCCUGUAAGCUAACAGACUACCCAGUAUGACUGAGAAUGGUGGAAUCGAUCCUGGUAAGACAUACUCAUUUGACUAAAUUAUAUUUACAGUCUGUGCUCCCUGUAUGUGAUGGUCAUCCCCCUGUGAGUCAUCUGAAUGCAUUCCAGGAUAUGUGGGAAUCUCUUCGUGGCAGAAUGUUGAUUUAAUGAAUUUUGAGCAAGAGAACUGCAACAUCAAAAGCAAAGACACACAGGGAGUAAGUGACUGGAAACAAGAGCCCUCCAUCUAAAAAACCAGGACAAAUAUUUCUCUGCUGUUUUGUUAAAGGAUUCUUUUUCUUCUCAGACAUGAAGAAAUCCCUAUAAGACAAACAUGCUAGCAGCUACUAUCCAUGUUAGCUCCUGUUUGUGCUCAGCAUGUCAAGAAAGGAAAAAAAAAAAAAAAAAAAGACUCACUGUUUUGCAAGGACGCUGCUUCCUCUGCAGAUAUUUACAGGUUGUUUUUUUUUAGCAAAACUUACAGUUUACAAACUGCCCACUGCAUUUCCAUUUUUGUUGCAGGUUCUAUUGUUACUGCAUAAUGCAGAAAUAUCGGAGUGCUACCUUUUGUUUUCAUAUAAUCACCUAGGUUCUGUACAUACCGCUCAACUAAGAAGAAAAAUACAUUGUUAUCUACUCUAUUGCAUAAUUAUGUUUUCUGAUUUUUAACAGGAUUUCAUAACGUAGAUGAUAAAAUCCAUAUAUCUAUAUGUUGAUAAGGCUUGUAUUCUUCAACCCUAUUGCUCCGUUGAGACAACUUGUACCUGGAAGAUGUGGAAAUGUGUUAUCAACCCAUUAGCGUUUCACAGAUGAAACUUGCAGCAUGUUGCAAAGGCAGCCAAGAAGGAACUUUAAUGGCUCUCCUGGAAAUUUUUCAAAAGCCGCUCCCAUUGACUGCAUUGGACAUUAUAUAAGGUCCUAAAAGCCAAAAGCAAUUUCCAGGGAGGCAUAAGUUGCAGGCCUAGGCUGCAGGCAUCGCGUUUGAACCAGGAGGAAGAAAUAACUAUUUCAUGCAUCGGUGCAAAGAACAAUAGAUGAUGCCAUAUCUGAAAGGACGAAGUCCAAGUCCAAGGACUGGGGUGAAAGAGGAGAUACAUUCACCCACUGUGAUCCAAGCUUAAUUCUAGAAAUGUGGUAGCUGCGCAUCUGCUCUGCUAACAAAUGCACAUAAAAACCAAAACAAAGAUACCUCCACUUUCAUUCACAUUUUCUAGGUAGGAUUCUUUCUAUUGUAAUUAAAUUUAUUUUUUGUACAAGCUAUUUUCUUGACUCACAGCUGAAGAUUACCUUGUUGGUUAAUGUAUUUGGUCAUUAAUUUGGCACUGUGGGCAGAUGUGAUGUAAAGCUCUUAACCUUUCUGGGGUUAGAUGGAGGCAAGUAUCCUGCACCCAGAGGUUUAACAAGGCAUCCCUAGGGUGUGUAGAUAACUUGUAAUUAAUUUAAUUAAAGGGAGCACUUUGUACUGGGACUAAAAAGAUUCUUUUGUUGAGUAAGACCUUAAUAUUAGUUUUCUUCAAAGGGAAACAUCCAGAUAAAACCAAAAUCCUGUUUACCAUGUACUUUUUGGUGUCAGCAGUAACUUUGAUUUUUAAAGUCUCGACGAUGAAACCCAAUGUCUGACGCUCCUAUAUAGAUUUCAUUCACUGUGGACCAUAAAGCAGGGCUGAUAACACCGAUCAGAUGUUAGCGCUAGCUGCAUCGCGUAUUUCUUAAGCUAUUCAGGCAACCUAA